AAAAACAUGUUUGUUUGGAGUUAUAAAUAGUCUGGCCUGCUCACUGACAUAGUAAAAGUGUUUAAGAGCCGCGGUAUCUUGACCGUGCAAAGGUAGCAUAAUCAUUAGCUUUUUAAUUGGAAGCUUGUAUGAAGGGUCGUACAAAAGAAAGGCUGUCUUUACUAUAGGGAUUGAAUUUAACUUUUAAGUGAAAAGGCUUAAAUACUCUAGGGGGACGAUAAGACCCUAUAAAGCUUUACAUAUGAGUAUAAUUUAGUUGAAUUGGUUGAUAAGAGUUGUAAUUUGGCUAUUAUGUUUUAUUGGGGCGAUAGAAGUAUAAUUGAUAUUAACUGCUUAAGAGUGAACCAUAGAUUUGUGUGAUGAGAAGAAAUGAUCCUUUAUAAAGAUUAAAAGACUAAGUUACUUUAGGGAUAACAGCGUUAUUCUUUUUGAGAGUUCAUAUCGAAAAAAGAGUUUGCGACCUCGAUGUUGAAUUAAAAUACCUGCAGGGUGCAGCAGUUCUGUAAGGAAGUCUGUUCGACUUUUGAAUUUUUACAUGAUUU
Molecule: ribosomal RNA, 542 nt
Filed under: Pseudozius caystrus
Lineage: Eukaryota; Metazoa; Arthropoda; Malacostraca; Decapoda; Pseudoziidae
Description: partial 16S ribosomal RNA
Rfam family: Bacterial large subunit ribosomal RNA
Source: RNAcentral